RNAcentral lists this signal recognition particle RNA (287 nucleotides) under Phascolarctos cinereus (koala). RNAcentral's name for it is "Metazoan signal recognition particle RNA (ENSPCIG00000023818.2)". It matches the Rfam family "Metazoan signal recognition particle RNA". Rfam says of the family: The signal recognition particle (SRP) is a universally conserved ribonucleoprotein. It is involved in the co-translational targeting of proteins to membranes. Lineage: Eukaryota; Metazoa; Chordata; Mammalia; Diprotodontia; Phascolarctidae. The record is from RNAcentral.
GCUGGACAUGGAGGUGCACACCAGUAGCCUCAGCUACUGGGAGGCUGGCUGAUCUCUUGAACUUGGGAGUUCUGAACUGCAGUGGGCUAUGCUGAUUGAGCAUCUGCACUAAGUUCUGCAUCAACAUGGUGAGACCUCUGGAGUGAGGAUUCACCAGGUUGCCUGAGGACGGGCAAACCAGCCCAGGUCAAAAAUAGAGAAAGUCACAGAUGUUACACAGGUCAGUAGUGGGAUUGAACCUUUAAGAAGCCCCUGCAGUUUCAACCAGGUGAGACAGAGAGACCUAC